Molecule: ribosomal RNA, 526 nt
Filed under: uncultured bacterium
Lineage: Bacteria
Description: bacterial SSU rRNA
Rfam family: Bacterial small subunit ribosomal RNA
Source: RNAcentral
AGUAAAUAGAUACCCGGGUAGUCCACGCCGUAUACGAUGAAUACUCGGCAUCUGGCGGCCGAUUUUCGGCGGCCGGGUGCCCCAGCUAACGCGGUAAGUAUUCCGCCUGGGAACUACGAGCGCAAGCUUAAAACUCAAAGGAAUUGACGGGGGCCCGCACAAGCAGCGGAGCGUGUGGUUUAAUUCGACGCAACGCGCAGAACCUUACCCAGGUUUGACAUGACACUGCAAGCUUCUGAAAGGAAGUCGCCUUCGAGGGUGUGUCACAGAUGCUGCUUGGCUGUCGUCAGCUCGUGUCGUGAGAUGUUGGGUUAAGUCCCGCAACGAGCGCAACCCUACGGUCAGUUACUUGUGUCUGGCCGGACUGCCCAUCUUGGGAGGAAGGCGGGGAUGACGUCAAGUCCGCAUGGCUCUUACGCCUGGGGCGACACACACGCUACAAUGCCGGUGACAAUGCGCAGCUACUUGGUAACAAGAUGCUAAUCGUCAACCACCGGGCCCAGUGCAGAUUGGGGGCGUGCAACUC